GCGUCGGGGGCCAGCCUGGCGGGACAUUUGGGGUCCCCCAUACGUGGACCUAUGCCUGUUGUAAGAUGUUUGGAAGAGCGUCGAAAGAUGAGAUCAUGUUGUGUCCUUGGAAGCUGAAUGAAGAACCGGCUUGCAAAGGAGAAGCGCGUGCAGUCCCGGCGCGGCCCGCUCUGCUCAGUUCUCCAGGGCGGGCCUUGGCCUGGACUGCGUGUCGGGAGGACUCGCGGGCCCCGCAUUGCCGCAUGCCACCGGCAGGUGUCUCUUUCCUGGCUUGGGAACCUAUUAACUGUCCGGUCAUUCAUGAGGAUGAGUGUCCCCAGAUGUGCCUGUCUCAGGGCACCCUCUCCUGGGCACACCUGAUUGGAUCAAGCUGUGCACCUGACCCAGGCUGGGACAACCAAAUUCCCUCUCCCAGGAAUCUGGUAUUGGACUGAGGACAGCCACUCACCUUUGGCUAAUCUCUUUAGGAGAGAAGAUGUAGAUGUGAUAGUUGUUGAGGGAUUAUCCUCUGCCCAGCUACUCACAGAGAAGAAAGUGGAUUGCAGAGGGAGACACGAAGCAGAGAAGAAAGCUGGAGAAGGUGGACUGUCUAGGUUCCUAGCAGCUUCUCGGGCUACCUUGAGGCCAUCUGCCCUUGGACUUCAUGAGAUACUGCUAUACUCUUCUAUGUCCCUUAAUGCUUACGUCAGCUCAAGUUGAUUACUUCCAACCAAAAGGACUUAACUCAGACAAGGACAAAGCCAAGACCAUCAGUGAGGUUUUUUUCUUUAUAACCAGGUCCCUUACAGCAUCCUGGGGAGCACUGUAGGUCCUAAAUACACAUUAUUCACAUUAUUCACUCUCCAAAGGCUUCCAUUAGGCAAAAACAUCUUCUCAUCCAAGGCCAACUAGAUUAGGAAAUGGCAUUUCUUAUGGCUUUCCAUCCCCAGAGGGCAAAUGCACAGAUGACUGCAGUUAGCAAUUGACUCUGUGGGUUAGUAUUUGCUGAGGGCACACACCCUGAGACUUGAAUGACAGAAAUCCCCAGGUGCCAAGGAGGAGACUGGCAAUUAUGCCUCCAAUCACCUCCCUGUUCUGCCGCCCUCUAAAUCAGCACUCCCCACCGCGGUGACCCUCAAUGACUGGCAAGACGACCCAUUUUUAAAGGGCCAAUUUUUAACAGCUGGAAACAAUAAACGUCGUGGGAGGUGAAGAUGCUGGGAGGACUGAUUUCUCCUUCGCUGUUUUCAAAAGUCAAAAGAUGCUGGGUGUAAUGGCAACAGCCACAGAAAGUUAGCACAACUCCUGCCACGGAGCAGCUGUGUGAUGGUGGCUUCCCCAGUCCCCCUCCCUGGGCCUCGGUUCUUACAGCUGCAAAAUGAGGAGGUAGAAUGAGAUGCUCUUUAAUAUCCCUUUCAUCUUCAACUUUCUACAAUUCUUGUAAGCUGGAAAGAUGUACACAGAACUUCAUCUUGAUUUUAUUACUUGUAGUCCAUCUUCUUGUGACAGAGCCAGCGGCAGCUUGUGCAUGUGAAAGUAAGUUGUUCACUCUCUCUCUGAGAUGAUUUAAGAGGUUGUGAAAACCCAAAGUACCUCCUUCAGUGUUCUGCCAUAGCCAGGCCUGAAGCUCCCCUGCCCCAGAGCCAGACCUGGGAUCCAGGUAUCAUUUAUCUACGUCAAAAGGCAAACAUGUACAUUGUACAUUGUUUUCCCAGAGCAUAUUAGCCUGGACUUGCCUCUGGAGUCCCUAGGAAUGAUACUAGGCCUGGGAUCCAGCAGAGGCCAGGAAAGGUCUCAGGCACAGGGUACUGUGGUGGCAGACAGGCCUGGGCAGUAAGUAGUGUGUGCAGGGUAGCCCGUGAGUGGCAAGAAGCUCCAAAGUGGGGGACAGCCCUGAGCCAACUGCGUGCAGUAGGGAACAGGGCUGUCAGCUCCAGCACUGCACUUUUGCUUCAUUUUGCUCACCAGAUCCUCUUGCUCCUCUUCAGGGUGCCCAGCAGGAAGGGUCUCUAACUAUCUUCCAGGGCCCACUCCACAAUAUAAGGAAAG
This 2028-nucleotide long non-coding RNA is filed under the name Homo sapiens (human). Its description in RNAcentral is "HSALNT0199386". The record is from RNAcentral. Lineage: Eukaryota; Metazoa; Chordata; Mammalia; Primates; Hominidae.